AGCCUGCGGCUUAAUUUGACUCAACACGGGAAACCUCACCCGGCCCGGACACGGACAGGAUUGACAGAUUGAGAGCUCUUUCUCGAUUCCGUGGGUGGUGGUGCAUGGCCGUUCUUAGU
RNAcentral lists this ribosomal RNA (119 nucleotides) under Passer domesticus (house sparrow). RNAcentral's name for it is "partial 18S ribosomal RNA". It matches the Rfam family "Eukaryotic small subunit ribosomal RNA", at positions 1180 to 1298 of the family's 1831-position model. Lineage: Eukaryota; Metazoa; Chordata; Aves; Passeriformes; Passeridae. The record is from RNAcentral.